Molecule: long non-coding RNA, 1490 nt
Organism: Ostrea edulis (European flat oyster)
Lineage: Eukaryota; Metazoa; Mollusca; Bivalvia; Ostreida; Ostreidae
Exons: 2
Source: RefSeq, a predicted model, not a curated record
AUCAGUUACAAGUGAGAAACAGCACUUGCAAUGCUUUGAACUGUAAACAAGGCUCGUGUCAUGCUUUUGUUUACAUAUAGAAGGCUUAAUAGAAAAUAACAUGUUUAAAACAAAAUGAGAUGUGUGUUAACUUGUGAAUUUAAAAAAUCUCCUUUAAACGCUCUUUUACUUGUAUAUUUUACCUAUGUAGACAAAAGCAUGGCACGAGCCUUGUUUACAUAACAAGAAAUUGUGAGCUCUGUAUCUCUCAUGUACCUUGACAACUGAUAUUCAAAUUUUUGCUAACCAUUAGAAAUACCUUACUUAAGCAUACUGAACCUUAAAAACGGAAAUAUAAAAUUUGAAAAUUUUAGGCUCAAAUCGUGUCCAUGUCCCGUUAAUAAAGUAUUACAAAAUGUCGUAAUAGUGACUUCUAUAAUCACGGGGAAAAAAUUAAGAACAUCGCAAAUAUCAGAUGAAUAUCGUUUUUAGAAAUUAUCGAUGUGUCAGAUCGUUGGUCUAGGGAGGGAAUGUCCUUUGUUGAUGUGAUGAAGUUAAUUUUCAUUUUGUUAGUUUUUUGUGGUAUUGUCUGUAAAUAGUUGUUUAUGCUUGUAAGGUGUUUCCGUAGUGUGAGUGUUGGUCGAUAAGGCUAUUUUUAGCAUACCGGUUUGGUCAGUCAGAGUAGCGGCUGUUUGUCAAGCGUGCGGCCACGUUUUCAUGCUGUCCAGCAGGGGUCUUUUCUUGGCGAAUUCCAGAAGUUAGUCUGGGUAAUGGGUAGCCAGAGAGACAAACAUUUUACUGUGUGGGCAUAGGUUUUUUCCAGCCGUGCAGAGGGGAUUUAAGAAGCUAUCUGGGCCAUAUCAGUCAGUACUCUCAGCAUUUCAGUAGGUGCUCGGCGUGGGAAUCAGAACACGUGAGACUGUGCUGUAUGUACAUGGGUGUUCCACGUGGUGCACUUGGCAAUUAUUUUGUGAGCCUAGUGUUGCCAUUGGUUUGAAGUCGGCGUUACCCAGUAUCGUUGUUCAGUGAGAGACCUGUGAGUCCGGGACUGGAAGCGGAGGGGCUGUUCGAGCUGUAUGGAGGCCUGGUGGUGCCAAGUGUGACGUGGCGUUAAAUUGAAUUGUGCUGAGUAGCCAAACUUUCAUAUUGUGUUUCAGUAAACUAACAUUUUAUCAAAAAGGAAUUUGAGAAAUUUGUACAAAACGUAAUUUACUACUGUUUAACUUUUUCUGUAGAUAGCGGAAUUAGCGACUAUUCGAACCAUUAUGUAAUACAUUUAUUACCAGUUAUAUUUUCAGCCUGGAAUGACAUACUUGUUGUAUUACCUAUUGAAUUGUCUUGACAGUUAUACGUUAUAUUGAUUGUCAAUAUUGCCAGGUUUAUUAUACCAAUUUAUAUUUCUUUCUCGGUGAGAGAGUAUGGGUGUGUGAAUGUGAAAGUGUGAUUUCUUUGUUUUUCAAAUAUCUCUAUAUUUCUUAUCUUAUUGCUAAAUAAAUUUUCUUUUUAUUUAU